This is a long non-coding RNA of Manihot esculenta (cassava), 597 nucleotides long. RefSeq lists it as uncharacterized. Lineage: Eukaryota; Viridiplantae; Streptophyta; Magnoliopsida; Malpighiales; Euphorbiaceae. The transcript is spliced from 2 exons. The record is from RefSeq and is a predicted model, not a curated record.
CAUGUUAAAUAACCGAUCAAACCGAAAAACCGAAAAACCGGUUUAAACAUGUUAACCCAACCCAGCAGGCAGCAGCCCAACCCCAUCAAUCGAUUUCGCUGAACCCCUUCGUUCAUCCCGUUCUCCACAUUCUGCAAUCUCCUCUCCCGAACCCGAUUCCCCCCGAACCCCUAUUCUCUCUCUCGAAUCCCGAUUCCUUCCCCUGGCCUCUCUUUCUCUUUCACGUCGAUCGUCAAUCUUUUUCUCGUCGACCUCCGACCGCCGACCGUCGACCAUCAACCUCUUUCCCGUCGAUUUGGUGAGUUUCACCGCCGACCGUGAACUGAUCUCUUGAGAGCAAAGAUCCCUCGGAUGGAUGGUGCUUGUUGGUUUUGUGGCAUUAGUUGUUUUUUUAUGAUAAAAAUCAAUACUUGAAGUCUUUUCAUUUUAGAAUGAACUGACCCUGAGUUUUCUUUUUAUCCAGUUUUUUCUUUCCCAUUAUAUGUUGAGCUUUCUGUGUGAUUUGCCUUUUUUUGGUGUCUACAGAGACAAAGACCCUGUCUGGAUUUUGAUGUUUGAGGUUACUUGUUUUGAUGUACAAUGUAAAGUUUUCUUGUU